RNAcentral lists this ribosomal RNA (290 nucleotides) under uncultured bacterium. RNAcentral's name for it is "partial 16S ribosomal RNA". It matches the Rfam family "Bacterial small subunit ribosomal RNA", at positions 773 to 1060 of the family's 1533-position model. The record is from RNAcentral.
GUGGAUUAGAUACCCGGGUAGUCCUAGCCGUAAACGAUGUGGACUUGGCGUAGGCGGGUUGAAAUCCAUCUGUGCCGAAGCAAACGCGAUAAGUCCACCACCUGGGGACUACGGCCGCAAGGCUAAAACUCAAAGGAAUUGACGGGGGCCCGCACAAGCAGCGGAGCGUGUGGUUUAAUUCGAUGUUACACGAAGAACCUUACCAGGGUUUGACAUGCAAGUGGUAGAGAAGCGAAAGCGGAACGACCCUUCGGGGAGCUUGCACAGGUGUUGCAUGGUCGUCGACAACU